CAAGACUAUGUUUUUAUAUACACCAAAGUAUGUUUAAAGAAUGUCAUUAAUAGGAACUUGUUUCCUAUAAAAUUAUACAACUUUCAGCAACGGAUCUCUUGGCUCUCGCAUCGAUGAAGAACGCAGCGAAAUGCGAUAAGUAAUGUGAAUUGCAGAAUUCAGUGAAUCAUCGAAUCUUUGAACGCACCUUGCGCUCCUUGGUAUUCCGAGGAGCAUGCCUGUUUGAGUGUCAUUAAAUUCUCAACCUUCCAGCUUUUAUAAGCUUGGUUAGGCUUGGAUGUGGGAGUUGCGGGCUUCAUCAAUGAGGUCGGCUUUCCUCAAAUGCAUUAGCGGAACUUUUGUGGACCGUCUAUUGGUGUGAUAAUUAUCUACGCCGUGGAUGUGAAACAGCUUUAUGAAGUUCAGCUUCNAACCGUCCAUUCACUUGGACAAUUUUGACAAUUUGAC
RNAcentral lists this ribosomal RNA (447 nucleotides) under uncultured Laccaria. Its description in RNAcentral is "eukaryotic LSU rRNA". The stretch from base 79 to 232 matches the Rfam family "5.8S ribosomal RNA". The record is from RNAcentral. Lineage: Eukaryota; Fungi; Basidiomycota; Agaricomycetes; Agaricales; Tricholomataceae.